RNAcentral lists this ribosomal RNA (468 nucleotides) under uncultured bacterium. Its description in RNAcentral is "partial 16S ribosomal RNA". It matches the Rfam family "Bacterial small subunit ribosomal RNA", at positions 28 to 507 of the family's 1533-position model. The record is from RNAcentral.
GACGAACGCUGGCGGCGUGCUUAACACAUGCAAGUCGAACGGAAAGGCCCUGCUUUUGUGGGGUGCUCGAGUGGCGAACGGGUGAGUAACACGUGAGUAACCUGCCCUUGACUUUGGGAUAACUUCAGGAAACUGGGGCUAAUACCGGAUAGGAGCUCCUGCUGCUUGGUGGGGGUUGGAAAGUUUCGGCGGUUGGGGAUGGACUCGCGGCUUAUCAGCUUGUUGGUGGGGUAGUGGCUUACGAAGGCUUUGACGGGUAGCCGGCCUGAGAGGGUGACCGGCCACAUUGGGACUGAGAUACGGCCCAGACGCCGACGGGAGGCAGCAGUGGGGAAUAUUGCACAAUGGGCGGAAGCCUGAUGCAGCAACGCCGCGUGCGGGAUGACGGCCUUCGGGUUGUAAACCGCUUUCGCCUGUGACGAAGCGUGAGUGACGGUAAUGGGUAAAGAAGCACCGGCUAACUACGUG